UACAGAGGGGGCAAGCGUUAUUCGGAAUUAUUGGGCGUAAAGGGCGCGUAGGCGGCUUUGCAAGUGGCGGGUGAAAUCCCUCGGCUUAACCGAGGAACUGCCUGUCAAACUGCAUGGCUUGAGACCAGGAGAGGUGAGUGGAAUUCCCAGUGUAGCGGUGAAAUGCGUAGAUAUUGGGAGGAACACCAACGGCGAAGGCAGCUCGCUGGGACGGUACUGACGCUGAGGCGCGAAAGCGUGGGGAGCAAACAGG
RNAcentral lists this ribosomal RNA (253 nucleotides) under uncultured bacterium. RNAcentral describes it as "partial 16S ribosomal RNA". It matches the Rfam family "Bacterial small subunit ribosomal RNA", at positions 524 to 776 of the family's 1533-position model. The record is from RNAcentral.